UCUCCGUAGGUGAACCUGCGGAGGGAUCAUUACAGAGUUCAUGCCCUACCGGGUAGAUCUCCCACCCUAUGUUAUUAUUACUUUGUUGCUUUGGCGGGCCGUUAGGCUCCGGCCCGACUACCGGCCCCGGCUGGUAAGCGCCCGCCAGAGGACCCAAAACCCUGAAUAUUAGUGUCGUCUGAGUACUAUAUAAUAGCUAAAACUUUCAACAACGGAUCUCUUGGUUCUGGCAUUGAUGAAGAACGCAGC
RNAcentral lists this unclassified non-coding RNA (249 nucleotides) under plant metagenome. Its description in RNAcentral is "partial contains small subunit ribosomal RNA, internal transcribed spacer 1, and 5.8S ribosomal RNA". The stretch from base 201 to 249 matches the Rfam family "5.8S ribosomal RNA", at positions 1 to 49 of the family's 154-position model. The record is from RNAcentral.